CCUACGGGCGGCAGCAGGCGAGAAAACUUUGCAAUGUGCGAAAGCACGACAAGGUUAAUCCGAGUGGUUUCUGCUAAAGAAACCUUUUGUUAGUCCUAGAAACACUGAUGAAUAAGGGGUGGGCAAGUUCUGGUGUCAGCCGCCGCGGUAAAACCAGCACCUCAAGUGGUCAGGAUGAUUAUUGGGCCUAAAGCAUCCGUAGCCGGCUAUUUAAGUUUUCGGUUAAAUCUGUGCGCUUAACGUACAGGCUGCCGGGAAUACUGCAUAGCUAGGAAGUGGGAGAGGUAGACGAUACUCGGUAGGAAGGGGUAAAAUCCUUUGAUCUAUUGAUGACCACCUGUGGCGAAGGCGGUCUACCAGAACACGUUCGACGGUGAGGGAUGAAAGCUGGGGGAGCAAACUGGAUUAGAUACCCUAGUAGUC
RNAcentral lists this ribosomal RNA (423 nucleotides) under uncultured archaeon. Its description in RNAcentral is "partial 16S ribosomal RNA". It matches the Rfam family "Archaeal small subunit ribosomal RNA", at positions 322 to 746 of the family's 1478-position model. The record is from RNAcentral.